UACGUAGGGGGCAAGCGUUUAUCCGGAAUCAUUGGGCGUAAAGCGCGUGUAGGCGGUUCCGUAAGUCCGCUCUGAAAGCCCAGGGCUCAACCCUGGGAGGCGGGUGGAUACUACGGAACUGGAGUACGGAAGAGGAGAUUGGAAUUCCUGGUGUAGCGGUGAAAUGCGCAGAUAUCAGGAGGAACACCAACAGCGAAGGCAGAUCUCUGGGACGUUACUGACGCUGAGGAGCGAAAGCGUGGGGAGCGAACAGG
This 254-nucleotide ribosomal RNA is filed under the name uncultured bacterium. RNAcentral's name for it is "partial 16S ribosomal RNA". It matches the Rfam family "Bacterial small subunit ribosomal RNA", at positions 524 to 776 of the family's 1533-position model. The record is from RNAcentral.